Non-coding RNA from Danio rerio (zebrafish), 692 nucleotides. The record is from RefSeq and is a predicted model, not a curated record. Lineage: Eukaryota; Metazoa; Chordata; Actinopteri; Cypriniformes; Danionidae.
CGAUUCAUUUAAGAGAUUUAUUUAUUUACUUAUUUAUUUUUAUAUGCAAGUAAUAGUUAACUUCAGCAAAACUUGCAUCUAAUGUUUUGUUUUAUUCACUUCAAGAGUUCCUAUGUUUGUUGUAGGUGGGGCUGUAAAUAGUGUAACACCGGGUGAAUGUUAAAGCUUCCCUCUGUGUGCCCGCGCUCAGUCGCGUGGUGCACGCAGAUGGUGAAGCAGAGGAUUGAGAGGGUUUCCAGUGUUAAAUUAUACUGACUGUGCCUCACUGUUUUGUUAAGGUAUGUUGUUUUGGUUAUUGGCUUGUUAUUUUAAGGAUUCAAAUAUGUAAAUCAGUUUAAAUUACAGUAAUGGUGUCAUUUAAUUGUGUCAUGGCAGAUUUUCAACUAAUAAUUUAAUUAAUGCAAACAAAAAGGGUUUUAUUUUAUCAGUGAUCAAAAGAAAAUUAAUGCAAUUUACAAUUAACAGUUAUUUAAUGUUACAUAUUUUAUUUAUAUUAUGCAAUUUAUGUGAUUUUGUUUUUAUUGGCAUUUAAAUGUUUAAAAUAGUAAAAUACAUAUUUCUCUGUGUGCCUGCUCAGUCGCGUGGUGCACGCAGAUGGUGAAGCAGAGGAUUGAGAGGGUUUCCAGUGUUAAAUUAUACUGACUGUGCCUCACUGUUUUGUUAAGGGAAUAAAUCAGUGUUUCUCCACCUCA